Molecule: non-coding RNA, 45 nt
Filed under: Schistosoma bovis
Lineage: Eukaryota; Metazoa; Platyhelminthes; Trematoda; Strigeidida; Schistosomatidae
Also listed under: 1 other name
Source: RNAcentral
AUUCAGCUGGCGAGUCCCAAAUAGGAUGAGACACGCGUCUUGGAU